RNAcentral lists this ribosomal RNA (460 nucleotides) under uncultured bacterium. Its description in RNAcentral is "partial 16S ribosomal RNA". It matches the Rfam family "Bacterial small subunit ribosomal RNA", at positions 338 to 795 of the family's 1533-position model. The record is from RNAcentral.
CCUACGGGAGGCAGCAGUGAGGAAUAUUGGUCAAUGGACGAGAGUCUGAACCAGCCAAGUAGCGUGAAGGAUGACUGCCCUAUGGGUUGUAAAUUUCUUUUAUAUGGGAAUAAAAUGUUCCACGUGUGGGAGUUUGUAUGUACCAUAUGAAUAAGGAACGGCUCACUCCGUGCCAGCAGCCGAGGUAAUACGGAGGAUCCGAGGGUUACCCGGAUUUAUUGGGUUUAAAGGGAGCGUAGGUGGUUUGUUAAGUCAGUUGUGAAAUCUUGCGGCUCAACCGUAAAAUUGAAGUUGAAACGGGCAGUCUUGAGUACCGUAGAGGUGGGCGGAAUUCGUGGUGUAGCGGUGAAAUGCUUAGAUAUCACGAAGAACUCCGAUUGCGAAGGCAGCUCACUGGACUAAAACUGACACUGAGGCUCGAAAGUGUGGGUAUCAAACAGGAUUAGAUACUCCUGUAGUC